CGCAAACUACUUAGGCGGAGUUGCUGGAGUUCUAAUAGAAUAAGUAAUUUUGUUUAGCUAUCCAACAAGAAGAUGUAACUUCAAAUCCUAUUAAGAUUGGAAUUCAUGAGAAUGAUAUGAAGAAGGCAACCUAUCACAGGUAGCCUUCAAUGUCAUAGUGAAAUCCAACAAGGAUGGCGGUUCAUCCACUAAAAUAUGCCUCUUGCAGUUAUGAAAACCUAACCUAUUCCUAAACCUAUGAAUAUCCUCCUAUUGAACGAGGUAUCUGACUUCUCUCAUCAAGCUUUUCCCUUUGAUUGCAGGCAUUGGACAUGCUGAGUCUCGGAAACCACUAGUCAUCAGUAACCAUUACAUAAUUUUCAAGAAAUGUUAACUUAAUUUUCAGGAGUAUGUCCAACCAAAAUUGAAAGGCAAAAAAGUUCAGUAAAUCAUGAUUAAAAUUAAACCCAAAAAAAAAUCAAGAAGAAUAGCAUCAACAACAUAGAAUUAAAGUGGUGCUUACAAGAGUCUCCCAAGAGCAUCAAU
RNAcentral lists this unclassified non-coding RNA (525 nucleotides) under Hevea brasiliensis (rubber tree). Lineage: Eukaryota; Viridiplantae; Streptophyta; Magnoliopsida; Malpighiales; Euphorbiaceae. The record is from RNAcentral.